RNAcentral lists this ribosomal RNA (615 nucleotides) under Glaciozyma watsonii. Its description in RNAcentral is "partial large subunit ribosomal RNA". It matches the Rfam family "Eukaryotic large subunit ribosomal RNA", at positions 51 to 658 of the family's 3401-position model. Lineage: Eukaryota; Fungi; Basidiomycota; Microbotryomycetes; Kriegeriales; Camptobasidiaceae. The record is from RNAcentral.
CGGAGGAAAAGAAACUAACAAGGAUUCCCCUAGUAACGGCGAGUGAAGCGGGAAGAGCUCAAAUUUGUAAUCUGGCCCUUUCAGGGUCCGAGUUGUAAUCUCGAGAAGUGUUUUCCGCGCCGGACCGCAUACAAGUCUGUUGGAAUACAGCGUCAUAGUGGUGAGAGCCCCGUAAUUGAUGUGGAUGCCCGGUGCUUUGUGAUACACUUUCGAAGAGUCGAGUUGUUUGGGAAUGCAGCUCAAAUUGGGUGGUAAAUUCCAUCUAAAGCUAAAUAUUGGCGAGAGACCGAUAGCGAACAAGUACCGUGAGGGAAAGAUGAAAAGCACUUUGGAAAGAGAGUUAACAGUACGUGAAAUUGUUGGAAGGGAAACGCUUGAAGUCAGACUUGCUAUUCGGAAUUCAGCCGCAAGGUGUACUUUUCGAUUUGCAGGCCAGCAUCAGUUUUUGGGGGUGGAAAAGGGUGGAGAGAAGGUAGCAACCUUGGUUGUGUUAUAGCUCUUUACUGGAUUCAUCUUUGGGGACUGAGGAUCGCAGUGCGCAAUUUACUUUGCAAACCUUUCGAGGUUUUCGUACUUAGGAUGCUGGUGGAAUGGCUUUAAACGACCCGUCUUGAA